This 220-nucleotide ribosomal RNA is filed under the name Chaetoceros curvisetus. RNAcentral's name for it is "partial Bacterial large subunit ribosomal RNA". It matches the Rfam family "Bacterial large subunit ribosomal RNA", at positions 603 to 823 of the family's 2925-position model. Lineage: Eukaryota; Bacillariophyta; Thalassiosirophyceae; Chaetocerotales; Chaetocerotaceae. The record is from RNAcentral.
ACCUUUUGUAUAAUGGGUCAUCGACUUGGUCUAUCUAGCAAGCUUAAGCCGUUAGCUGUAGGCGCAGCGAAAGCGAGUCUUAAUAGGGCGCUUUAGUCGCUGGGUAUAGACCCGAAACCGGGCGAUCUAUCCAUGGGCAGGUUGAAGGUUAGGUAACACUGACUGGAGGACCGAACCGACUACCGUUGAAAAGUUAGCGGAUGACCUGUGGAUCGGAGUG